UGACCACCUUGUUUCUGCCAUAUGUUUUAUCUCUGUUAAUACAGCUCAUCACUUACACCAGCAAAUAUAAUAAUCUAAACAUUUUUAACUGCAUCAAACAUUACAAAUUUGAAAGAAAGUGGUGGAAUUUGGGGUGAAUUAAAGAGGCCCAAAAAUGUACUGAGGUAGAUGCCAGAAGUAAUAUUUUGCCUGUGCUCCUUAGGUAGAAUUCAGAAAGGCUGUUACCACAAGGUGUGACAUAAGCGGUGUGUCCCAAUGGGGAUGGUGUCAGCUGUUUAUUAUUGCCCUUCCAAUUUCUGCUAAUGAAAUUGACCUGCUAUUAAAGUCAGGCUGAGUAGGGUAGAAAUUUAGUUAUACCAACAGCAAGGUUCAAUCUGAUGAAGUUAAUAGAAUUUCUUCCUGCAGAUUUUUCAGAACACAGCAUCCCAGGUUCUUUCUGCACAGUGGUUUGGGAAAAAGCAUUAGAGCAAAAUACUCUAGUUUCUCUAAAGUUUCUAGGGAAAUGCCUUCUCCCAACAAUGUUAAGAAUUCCAAAAUAGACUUGCUUAAAUUCCUUAUAGGAAAAAAAGAGUGUUCGUGGUGCUUAACAAAGAAUGUUCGUCUGCUCUUAGAGCAAAUUAUGGCUUCAUUCUGUAUCAAAUUUGAAUUUCAAGCUUUUUCAGUGAAGCGCUGUUCAAGUGAUAACACACAGCACUGUGUAAGGAAGAUUGUAAAGAAAAUCAAAUCACAUGCCUCAGGGAUUCAGACACUGGCCUCCAUGGGUAUCAGAAAGACUCGCCACCUGUAGACAAGGACAUUCACCAGGUGGGGAAAACAGCUGUGGAUUGAUGCCUGUGAAUGAAGUCUUCAGUUUGCAUGAUGCUCUGCUGUUACAACAGUUGCCCAAAAGUCAUGCUACAAGUUGGAGAGAGAGCCAUAUAAAUCUUUGCUAUUUUUAGUGUUUGUUUUGAAAAAUGCUAAAAGUUUUGCAUACACGUAGGAAGUUAGAUGCAUGGCUGCUACUGGACUUAGGUGGGGGAAAAAAAACAUUUUACAUCAAAAACAAACUCUUAUGCAAAACUGGCUCUUUCUGAAAGCAUUAAAUGUUGUGUGUGGGGGGGAAUAAAGGGAGAAGAUAUUGUUGAGUAUGUUAUUUA
Molecule: long non-coding RNA, 1136 nt
Filed under: Numida meleagris (helmeted guineafowl)
Lineage: Eukaryota; Metazoa; Chordata; Aves; Galliformes; Numididae
Description: lncRNA (ENSNMEG00000005137.1)
Source: RNAcentral